Molecule: ribosomal RNA, 383 nt
Filed under: uncultured cyanobacterium
Lineage: Bacteria; Bacillati; Cyanobacteriota
Description: bacterial SSU rRNA
Rfam family: Bacterial small subunit ribosomal RNA
Source: RNAcentral
CGAAAGCCUGACGGAGCAACGCCGCGUGAGGGACGAAGGCCUCUGGGCUGUAAACCUCUUUUCUCAAGGAAGAAGAUAUGACGGUACUUGAGGAAUAAGCCACGGCUAAUUCCGUGCCAGCAGCCGCGGUAAUACGGGAGUGGCAAGCGUUAUCCGGAAUUAUUGGGCGUAAAGCGUCCGCAGGCGGCUUUUCAAGUCUGCUGUUAAAGCGUGGAGCUUAACUCCAUCAUGGCAGUGGAAACUGAAAGGCUUGAGUAUGGUAGGGGCAGAGGGAAUUCCCGGUGUAGCGGUGAAAUGCGUAGAUAUCGGGAAGAACACCAGUGGCUAAGGCGCUCUGCUGGGCCAUUACUGACGCUCAUGGACGAAAGCCAGGGGAGCGAAAG